GUCCCUGUCCAGUGUGGGAGCCAACCUCACAAACAUGGGCUGCUUUCAUUUUGGCAAGGGCAAGCAGGGAUCGCAGCCGCUCCACGGGCGGGGAGGGCUCGGAGCCAGCGCUGCAGGAACCGGGGGAUGCUCAGCUGGGAGAUCCCAGGGAAAGGCUUUCCCAGGAUUUGGGAUGUUGGAGCAAACAGCUCUGGGCUCCUGGCUGGGCCUGGCUGAUGAGCCCCAGCACGGAAUGAGCGAGAGGGGAAGAACAAAAGGCUCCUUUGAUGUGCUCACCCGCACCAUGUUCAGCACAAAAUGCAAAUGUUCCCUCACGCUGGAGAACACUUAUCAAUAUUAAGGCAUACACGGAGCAGAAGAAAGGAGGAAGAACAAAAUACAACACUUAACAAGAGGGUAAUUUAGCCUGUUGGCAAGUGCUUCAAGCCGAGUUCAUGAAAAAUUACUCAGACAAUUGUUUUGUGGGGGUUCUGGGCCGUUCUGCAUAAAUCAUGAUAUGGAUUCCAUGGGAGGCCAGAGCUUGAUCAGGUGUGAGAGGG
This 539-nucleotide long non-coding RNA is filed under the name Cyanistes caeruleus (blue tit). Its description in RNAcentral is "lncRNA (ENSCCEG00000004084.1)". Lineage: Eukaryota; Metazoa; Chordata; Aves; Passeriformes; Paridae. The record is from RNAcentral.